This 850-nucleotide long non-coding RNA is filed under the name Gallus gallus (chicken). RNAcentral's name for it is "lncRNA (ENSGALG00010008950.1)". Lineage: Eukaryota; Metazoa; Chordata; Aves; Galliformes; Phasianidae. The record is from RNAcentral.
GUUUACUCUAAUGAUUCCAUAGGCUUUCUUAGCAUUUGCAACUUCAAUUAACCUUAGUGGCAGCAGAUAUGCCAACUCUUUUCUUGUGGAUUUGCACAGAUUCAUAUCACUUUUCAUCACCUGUAGGUAAGCAGAAUUGGAGAAUUACUAUCACCAACUUCACAGCCAACCAUACAUAGUAUGUUACUCAACUAUGAUCUAUAUUUUAUUCUAUCUAUUAGUUAUUCUGAAUUAUCCUGCCCUCUCCUUUCCCCAGAUUUCCCAAAGGGCUCCCGUAAAAGCAGCAAGCUACUGGAACAUUUGUCUCUCAGAAAGUUUAAAACAAAUGAUCUGAGUGUUAUUAACGUAUGAAGACAUAUGGCUUAUGGGAAGGAAAUUAUCCUGGGGUAUAAAUCCUGGUGAGCACAGUAUUUUAAGGAGAUUAUGAAUGACAAGAAAUAACAGUAUUUUCUCUGUUCAAAGAAAAACAUUAAUGAUUCGGCUUCUGUCUCAUUGUCUCUAGUUUUCUUAUUUUAUUUUAUUUUUUAAUGCAAGAAAGCACAGGUUUACUUAAUAUUUUCAAUUUUAAAUGUUAUUUUUUCUCAUCUUAUUGAGUACCUCUCUGCAACGUUUGGAAUACUUUAUCUGGCACAGCUUCUUAUGACCAACCUCCACCUUCAUAUAUACAAGCACAGGUCCCAGUGAAGUCAAUGGAGUUGCACUUGCUUAUUUGAGAAGAGGUUUGAGGCCUUUCACCUUAAUACAACCAAGAAAUGCUUACAAGUGAAGUCACAUCUCAUAUCUGAUUAGCUGAAUUGUAAAUAUGAAAGAUAACUGGCUUGGAAUUAGGUAUCAGGAACUAAGAGUGCCC